AUUGAACGCUGGCGGCAGGCCUAACACAUGCAAGUCGAACGAGUGGCGGACGGGUGAGUAAUGUCUGGGAAACUGCCUGAUGGAGGGGGAUAACUACUGGAAACGGUAGCUAAUACCGCAUACCAUCAGAUGUGCCCAGAUGGGAUUAGCUUGUUGUUGGGGUAACGGCUCACCAAGGCGACGAUCCCUAGCUGGUCUGAGAGGAUGACCAGCCACACUGGAACGGAUACACGGUCCAGACGCAGACGGGAGGCAGCAGGGGUGAAUAUUGCACAAUGUGGUCAAGACUGAUGCAGCAAUGGCGCGGGUAUGAGGAAGGUCUUCGGGUUGUAAAGUACUGCCAGCGGGGAGGCGUUACUCGAAGAAGAAGCACCGGCUAACUCCGUGCCAGCCGCCGCGGUAAUUC
RNAcentral lists this ribosomal RNA (406 nucleotides) under uncultured bacterium. RNAcentral describes it as "partial 16S ribosomal RNA". It matches the Rfam family "Bacterial small subunit ribosomal RNA", at positions 30 to 526 of the family's 1533-position model. The record is from RNAcentral.